Molecule: ribosomal RNA, 360 nt
Filed under: Triticum aestivum (bread wheat)
Lineage: Eukaryota; Viridiplantae; Streptophyta; Magnoliopsida; Poales; Poaceae
Description: partial small subunit ribosomal RNA
Source: RNAcentral
AUGGACCCUUCCAUCCCGUAUUCCCGUUGUUAUGCAUCGGAGUCGGAUGAUGAUGGUCCCUAUGAUGAAGUUGAUGAGGAGGGGUUCACGAUGAAGGAGGCCCAAGCUUUCAAGAAGGUACUAUGACUUGAUCAUCGUGUUCCAUUGUUCAAGGAUCUUAGUCUCGUGGAUGAAGCCGUGGUUGACGGUGGCAAGGGUAUCUUUCUUGGAGUUAGGCCAACUUCUCAUCGGGAUUUGGAGCACAAGAAGAACGGUAUUUCUCCCGGGUCGAAGUUUGGAACCUUCUUGGAAUUCAAGAUGUGGGUGAUGACUACUCGGUUGCGCAUUAUCAUUCGCACAAGGUGGUUCACUCGGACGUGA